CUACAGAGGGUGCAAGCGUUAAACGGAAUUACUGGGCGUAAAGCGCGCGUAGGCGGCUUGAUUAGUCGGAUGUGAAAGCCCCGGGCUCAACCUGGGAAUUGCAUUCGAUACUGUCAGGCUAGAGUAUGGUAGAGGGUAGUAGAAUUCCUGGUGUAGCGGUGAAAUGCGUAGAUAUCAGGAGGAAUACCAGUGGCGAAGGCGGCUACCUGGACCAAUACUGACGCUGAGGUGCGAAAGCGUGGGGAGCAAACAGGAUUAGAAACCCUUGUAGUCC
This 274-nucleotide ribosomal RNA is filed under the name uncultured bacterium. Its description in RNAcentral is "partial 16S ribosomal RNA". It matches the Rfam family "Bacterial small subunit ribosomal RNA", at positions 523 to 796 of the family's 1533-position model. The record is from RNAcentral.